ACAUCAUUGGGAAUGGAGGGAAAUAACUGACUGUAUGGUCGUUGCUUUUUAAGUUUCAAACUGACAUUCCAGGCGGGCUGUGCCUGAGCCAGCAUCUGCUUUCAGAUCUUCACAGCCUGGUCCUGGGAAGGUGGAGCCCUCAGCUUCUCCCUGGACUCCCAUGGACCAGAAACAAAACCAAAAACUCGAAUCCCCAACUCAGGCUUUUACUUGAAGCUGGGACCUGGUGGUGGUAUGUCCUGGCCUCUGAGAGCAGCACGAGGCUUGGAGGCCCUGGCGGAGCCCUGGCAGAGAGAUCUUCGGCGAGACAGGCAUCUCUGCUACCUGGCAGGAGGAGACCCCCAGCAGGGCUUGGACUCAUCUGACUAGAAAGAUGAGCAGCUGGUUUGGGAGAUGGGCCAAGUGCGGUGCUGGAGGGGAUAGGACACGGCUGAAGGCUGAGGUGUGCAGCCUCCAGCAUCUCUCUUCUUGACGAAUUGGAUCCCUACAAGGAGAUUCUCAAGCUGAUGAAAACUUCUGAGCAGAGGAGCGGGUUCCAGCAGGCCCCCAGACGUGAGGUGACGGCCACAAGUGAGCGUGGGACACGCCUCCACACGGCACACAGCUGAGGUCCGGCCCCAGACCUUCCAUCCUGUGGUCUUGACACCUAGGAUAUCUGGCCAGGCUCUGGUGACCUGGCCAGGAUUCAGGGGUAUGGCGUCCACCUGGGCACCCAGCUACUUACCUGCUGUAUCCGGCUGCCCCUGGGGAGAAAAAAGAACACAGGUAUCUUACUUUUUAAAUUUUAAAAAGUAUUUUUAAUCGAUAACCCUUGCCCAUGGUCCAAAGUGUCAGAGAUUCAAACCAGUGUGUGGAGAAGAGUCUCCCUCUCAGCCUGACUCCCUGGACCCCCAGAGGCAACCAUCAGUGUCAGAUUCCUAAGGAUCCUGUUGGGGCUAUUCUUUGCACAAACUCCAGCUUUAUUUUGUUGCAUAAAGGACAACAUACUUUACUACAGUUUAUUUAACUAGUUACAGAAUGUUAGACAUUUGGGUUGUAUCCCGUCUUUGGCAAAUACAAGCGAUGUUGCCUAAAUAUCCAUAUAUGUGCACGCAGCUCACCCAUGUGUAAGAAUUUCUGUAGAUGAAUUCUCAGAGGCAGAGUUCCCAGGUAAAGGGAUAAGUGCAUUUGCAGUUUUGGUGUUGCAAAAUUUCUCUCCAUCAAAACCGUACUAUUCUACGAACAACUAGGAUGAAUAAAAGUGCCUGUUUCCAAACAUCUUUUUGAAUACGGCAUGUGAUUAAAGUUAGACCAUCUGAAAGAUGAAAAAUGGCAUCUUGGUGUAAAUGUAAAUGGCAUUUUCUUUCCUUGAAUGAUGUUGUUUCUUCCAAUGCUUCAGGACCAUUUGUAUUCCCAUUCCUGUAUCUUGUCAGUUCACAUCCUUUGCCCCUUUUUCUACUUGACUGUUGGUCUUUCAUUGAUUUAGAGGAGUCUUUAUAUAUUAGGGAUAUUUGUGCUGUCUGUGAUAUUAAUUAAAAUAGUUUUUCUCAGUUUGACAUUUGAGUUUGUGGUAGGUUUGGCCAUGCAGGGAAAACUUGAUUUUUAUGUAGUUAUUUUCAUCAAAUUAUUUUGCUUUCUGGUUUUGUGUUUUGUGUUUAUGCUAAUCAAGGUAUUCCUCCCUCUGAAGUGAAGAAAUCAUUAUUAUUUUCUUUUAGUACUUUUAUGGUUUCAUUUUUUUUACAUUUAACUCUUUGAUCUGUGUAGCUUUUGGUUGGCUACGUAGUAAUUGAAGUGUGGAUUCACCUUGCUACCGAAUGCGAGUUUGUGUGCCCAAUGCUCGGAGAGGCCAGACAAACCAAAACAUCAGAGUUUGGAGCAGAGAAGGGUUUAUUGCAGGGCCAAGCAAGGAGAUGGGUGGCUCAUGCCCAAAAAACCCUGAACGGAAGGGUUUCAGCGCUUUUAAAGGCCAGGUGAGGGGGGGGGGGUGAUGGGUUGUUGCAGACUUCUUGGUGUUGGAAUCCUUUGUUCUUGCAGCUGUCCACGUAGGUCAGGUCACCAUGUUCCUGUAAACCUCCAACAAGACGAAUGGUGUUCUCUGUUCUGCAACUUUUAACCUCUGUGUGAAUGGAAAAGUGUUGUACCCUUAAAGGUCAGAGUCUUGAGAAUGGGCUAUCCUGUAUAUUUUAGGCUAUAGGCAGCAUUCUUAACUCAAAGCAAAGGCAAUAGAAUACAAGGGUUAAAGUAAAAGACACAAAUCUAAUAUGGAGUCAGAGUUGUUCUUCCCUAUUGCAACCUUUUUUCUCCAGAUGGCUGCCCUGUAGUCCCAGUACUAUUCCUGAAUCGCCCAUCUUUCCCCACUGGCCUCGCUCGCCCCUGCCUCUCCAUGGGCCUCCCACUCCGAGGAACAGAGAUGCUUUUAAGUGAGAAACACAUAACUCACAGGUUCAGAAGGCCAGGCCAGGAAACGUCCCCAAAGGCCUUCCUUUUUAUCUAUGGUUUAAAAUGCAGAGAAAAUACUCCUCACUUUAGAAAAUACAACCUUUUCUGUUGGCUUACCUUCCCAUCCUGUCACAUUUUAAAUCUUCCUCCAUCACCCAGCAGUCUGGCCCCCCACGGUUUGAAGGUGCGCAUUCACACUGCUGGCCCCGUAUGAAAAGUCCAAGACUUGCCAGACUUGGUGACGUCAGCAGGACUGGGUCUCAGUCACCCCAUCUCUCUGCUUUGCCUCCCUCUUAUCCUCCACCUCCACCCCCAGAGAUGGCUAUGAGUUGGCUGCCAGAAGCUCAGCUCACAGCCUGCCCUCUUAGCAGCCCAGGUGACAGACGUCUGGGAACGUCAGUGACAGGACCAGCUGCUCAUCCUGGACUGGUCACUGGGAAUGGGACAUGGGGCGUGCUGGUUAGUGGUUCCGGGUCACUUGUCCACUUCUGGAUCAGACAGCCCACCUAAAUGAUGUGGGACUUCUGGGAAGGUAUAUUAAAAAGAGUUGACUCAGUUGUGGAGAUAUUCCCUUCCUCCCUCUUUGGGACAUGGAUGUGAAAGCAGGAGCUCCCGCAGCUGUCUUGUGACCUUGAGGGCAGAAGUAGAAAGACAAGAAGAAACAAGCUCUUCUAUGGGUACAUAUAUUUAGGGACCUACACUUCUGGGUGGGGAACGGAUAUCAGGUGCCAAAUUUGCUCACUUCCAAUAUUUACCUCAACAGUCACAUUGACUCUGUUGUGGCCAGUGAUGUGUGAUCCUUAUUGAUGGUUAAUUGACUCCCACUUGGAAACCUGUGACACAGCCUCCACUCCUGGGGGUUAGGUUUGAUCUGUAUCAUUGGGUUACCUUCUUCUUUUUAACCCAGGCUUCUACAGACCUAGUCCACUGAGAAAUUAUUUAAAUUUUACUCAACUGUGAUGAAGCAACUUCUGGACUAGUUUUAUCUCUGCUACAGUAUGUCACAGAGCAGCAGGGUGGAAAGUCUCAGAAAUGAAUCCAACAUGCAUUUUUUCUGUGUAAAAGGUAGAAUAUUCCUGAGGAUCGUGUUAACCACUCCCCCCUUUCAUACUCUCAGUCCGUGAAUGAUUACACUGACCCCUCCUCUUUGUCCCAUAAUUAAUCAUUUUUACAGGUUGCCAUCUUAAAGAGAAAGAAAGAAAGAAGUUAUCAAAUCCAAACCCCUAGAAGAGUGGGGUCCAUGCCUGCUCCCCUGGGCCAAGAUGACAACCAGCAACUGGGAGAGUCUCCCCAGGGGCCCAAGUGUGACCUCAAGUCCCGUAGACCUUGGAGUCCUAAUCUUCCCUGGAUGGUACUAUCAUUGAGAGGCAGGUGACAUGCUGUUCCAAGGGGCAGAAUUGGGACACGCCCUGAUGUGACAUCCAUCAAACAUGUGCAGACAGAUGGUAUGGCCCUCACACAACCUUGUCUCUUCCAGGCUGCACAUAAUCAUCUUCCCCAACUGCUUCAUGUAAUUCAAGGUUCCCAGCAAUCUAAACAUGCCAAUUGACAUUGUCAGGGCACAAUAUAAGAUAUUUUGCUUCCUUUUGACUUUGUUUAGUUUCAAUACCAUUUUUGUCCUUAUAGCGCUUUUUUUUUCUAAAAAAAAAAAAAAAACACCUGUAAAGCCCAUCACCUAGAGAUGAAAGAAGAAACAAAAUGUUGGCCAUUUUUUUUUCUGUAUAUAAAAAAGUAUAUCGUAUUUUACUUUACAAUACUGGGAUCAUAAUAUCUCUAGCAGUUUUCAUUAGGAAAUAGUCUUUUAUAAUAUGCUUAAUGUCUGUGUAAUAGUUCACCUUAUAAAUGUAUCAUGAAUUAUUUAGCCAUACCUGGCUGGCUUGCCUCUAAUUAGAAAAAAUUUCAUGAAGUGUCACCACUGGGUGAGGUUAAUCUCAGCCAAUCCUCCUGACAUCCCCGUCAGGCAGGAAUUAUGAUUAUCUUCAGUUUAUGACUUGGAAGGCUAAAUAAACUACUCAAAGACACUCAGCUACUGAGUGCCAGGAGGGAGACUCUAAUUAGCACCCCCAGCUACACUGUUGCCCUGUCCCUGUACCCUUGUAUGUACCGUCAUCUAUUUUUGCCAUCUUGAAAGACAAAUGUUAGCUUACUCUUGUUUUGUUUUAUUUGAUCUUUUUUAAAUUUGUACUUAUUUUUUUGCUGCCUUGGGUCUUUGUUGCUGCAUAUGGGCUUUCUCUAGUUGCAGCGAGCGGGGGCUAGUCUUCGUUGCAGUGCACGGGCUUCUCACUGCGGUGGAUUCUCUUGUUGCAGAGCACAGGCUCUAGAGCACUCGGGCUUUGGUAGAUGCAGCUCGUGGGCUCAGUAGUUGCGGCACACAGGCUCUAGGGUGCAGGCUCAGUAGUUGUGGCGCACGGGCUUAGUUGCUGCACAGCAUGUGGGAUCUUCCCAGACCAGGGAUCAAACCUGUAUCCGCUAUAUUGGCAGGUGGAUUCUUAACCACUGAGCCACCAGGGAAGUCCCUAGCCUACUGUUUUUGUUUGCAUUUAUUUUGUUGUUGUUGAGUUUGAGCAUCUCUUAAUUUCUUAUAGACCAUUUGCAUUUAGUUUCCUUUAAAAUACUUGCUUGUGUUUUUUUGCCUGUUUUUCUGUUAGUCUUGUGCUAUGUACACACACACACACACACACACACACACAUAAUUACCCAUUAUCUGUCAUAUAUGUU
Long non-coding RNA from Physeter macrocephalus (sperm whale), 5136 nucleotides. RefSeq lists it as uncharacterized. The transcript has 5 exons. The record is from RefSeq and is a predicted model, not a curated record. Lineage: Eukaryota; Metazoa; Chordata; Mammalia; Artiodactyla; Physeteridae.